This 497-nucleotide ribosomal RNA is filed under the name uncultured bacterium. Its description in RNAcentral is "partial 16S ribosomal RNA". It matches the Rfam family "Bacterial small subunit ribosomal RNA", at positions 28 to 507 of the family's 1533-position model. The record is from RNAcentral.
GAUGAACGCUGGCGGCGUGCCCAAUACAUGCAAGUCGAGCGAACGGACGAGAAGCUUGCUUCUCUGAUGUUAGCGGCGGACGGGUGAGUAACACGUGGAUAACCUACCUAUAAGACUGGGAUAACUUCGGGAAACCGGAGCUAAUACCGGAUAAUAUUUUGAACCGCAUGGUUCAAAAGUGAAAGACGGUCUUGCUUUCACUUAUAGAUGGAUCCGCGCUGCAUUAGCUAGUUGGUAAGGUAACGGCUUACCAAGGCAACGAUGCAUAGCUGACCGGAGAGGGUGAUCGGCCACACUGGAACUGAGCCACGGUCCAGCCUCCUACGGGAGGCAGCAGUAGGGAAUCUUCCGCAAUGGGCGAAAGCCUGACGGAGCAACGCCGCGUGAGUGAUGAAGGUCUUCGGAUCGUAAAACUCUGUUAUUAGGGAAGAACAUAUGUGUAAGUAACUGUGCACAUCUUGACGGUACCUAAUCAGAAAGCCACGGCUAACUACGUG